CUAUCGUUAACUGAAUACAUAGGUUAACGAGGCGAACCGGGGGAACUGAAACAUCUAAGUACCCCGAGGAAAAGAAAUCAACCGAGAUUCCCCCAGUAGCGGCGAGCGAACGGGGAGCAGCCCGGAGUCUGAAUCAGCUUGUGUGUUAGUGGAACGGUCUGGAAAGUCCGACGGUACAGGGUGAUAGUCCCGUACACGAAAGCACACUUGCUGUGAACUCGAAGAGUAGGGCGGGACACGUGGUAUCCUGUCUGAAUAUGGGGGGACCAUCCUCCAAGGCUAAAUACUCCUGACUGACCGAUAGUGAACCAGUACCGUGAGGGAAAGGCGAAAAGAACCCCGGCGAGGGGAGUGAAAAAGAACCUGAAACCGUGUACGUACAAGCAGUGGGAGCCUCUUUAUGGGGUGACUGCGUACCUUUUGUAUAAUGGGUCAGCGACUUAUAUUCUGUAGCAAGGUUAACCGUAUAGGGGAGCCGAAGGGAAACCGAGUCUUAACUGGGCGUUAAGUUGCAGGGUAUAGACCCGAAACCCGGUGAUCUAGCCAUGGGCAGGUUGAAGGUUGGGUAACACUAACUGGAGGACCGAACCGACUAAUGUUGAAAAAUUAGCGGAUGACCUGUGGCUGGGGGUGAAAGGCCAAUCAAACCGGGAGAUAGCUGGUUCUCCCCGAAAGCUAUUUAGGUAGCGCCUCGUGAACUCAUCUUCGGGGGUAGAGCACUGUUUCGGCUAGGGGGCCAUCCCGGCUUACCAACCCGAUGCAAACUACGAAUACCGAAGAAUGUUAUCACGGGAGACACACGGCGGGUGCUAACGUCCGUCGUGAAGAGGGAAACAACCCAGACCGCCAGCUAAGGUCCCAAAGUCAUGGUUAAGUGGGAAACGAUGUGGGAAGGCACAGACAGCCAGGAUGUUGGCUUAGAAGCAGCCAUCAUUUAAAGAAAGCGUAAUAGCUCACUGGUCGAGUCGGCCUGCGCGGAAGAUGUAACGGGGCUAAACCAUGCACCGAAGCUGCGGCAGCGACACUAUGUGUUGUUGGGUAGGGGAGCGUUCUGUAAGCCGUUGAAGGUGUGCUGUGAGGCAUGCUGGAGGUAUCAGAAGUGCGAAUGCUGACAUAAGUAACGAUAAAGCGGGUGAAAAGCCCGCUCGCCGGAAGACCAAGGGUUCCUGUCCAACGUUAAUCGGGGCAGGGUGAGUCGACCCCUAAGGCGAGGCCGAAAGGCGUAGUCGAUGGGAAACAGGUUAAUAUUCCUGUACUUGGUGUUACUGCGAAGGGGGGACGGAGAAGGCUAUGUCAGCCGGGCGACGGUUGUCCCGGUUUAAGCAUGUAGGCGGAGGUUCCAGGUAAAUCCGGUACCUUGUUAACGCUGAGGUGUGAUGACGAGGCACUACGGUGCUGAAGUGAUAAAUGCCCUGCUUCCAGGAAAAGCCUCUAAGCAUCAGGUAACACGAAAUCGUACCCCAAACCGACACAGGUGGUCAGGUAGAGAAUACCAAGGCGCUUGAGAGAACUCGGGUGAAGGAACUAGGCAAAAUGGUGCCGUAACUUCGGGAGAAGGCACGCUGAUGUGUAGGUGAAGUCCCUGCGGACGGAGCUGAAAUCAGUCGAAGAUACCAGCUGGCUGCAACUGUUUAUUAAAAACACAGCACUGUGCAAACACGAAAGUGGACGUAUACGGUGUGACGCCUGCCCGGUGCCGGAAGGUUAAUUGAUGGGGUUAGCGGCAACGCGAAGCUCUUGAUCGAAGCCCCGGUAAACGGCGGCCGUAACUAUAACGGUCCUAAGGUAGCGAAAUUCCUUGUCGGGUAAGUUCCGACCUGCACGAAUGGCGUAAUGAUGGCCAGGCUGUCUCCACCCGAGACUCAGUGAAAUUGAACUCGCUGUGAAGAUGCAGUGUACCCGCGGCAAGACGGAAAGACCCCGUGAACCUUUACUAUAGCUUGACACUGAACACUGGUCCUUGAUGUGUAGGAUAGGUGGGAGGCUUUGAAGCGUGGACGCCAGUCUGCGUGGAGCCAACCUUGAAAUACCACCCUUUAAUGGCUGGUGUUCUAACGUAGACCCGUAAUCCGGGUUGCGGACAGUGUCUGGUGGGUAGUUUGACUGGGGCGGUCUCCUCCCAAAGAGUAACGGAGGAGCACGAAGGUUGGCUAAUCCUGGUCGGACAUCAGGAGGUUAGUGCAAUGGCAUAAGCCAGCUUGACUGCGAGCGUGACGGCGCGAGCAGGUGCGAAAGCAGGUCAUAGUGAUCCGGUGGUUCUGAAUGGAAGGGCCAUCGCUCAACGGAUAAAAGGUACUCCGGGGAUAACAGGCUGAUACCGCCCAAGAGUUCAUAUCGACGGCGGUGUUUGGCACCUCGAUGUCGGCUCAUCACAUCCUGGGGCUGAAGUAGGUCCCAAGGGUAUGGCUGUUCGCCAUUUAAAGUGGUACGCGAGCUGGGUUUAGAACGUCGUGAGACAGUUCGGUCCCUAUCUGCCGUGGGCGCUGGAGAAUUGAGGGGGGCUGCUCCUAGUACGAGAGGACCGGAGUGGACGCAUCACUGGUGUUCGGGUUGUCAUGCCAAUGGCACUGCCCGGUAGCUAAAUGCGGAAGAGAUAAGUGCUGAAAGCAUCUAAGCACGAAACUUGCCCCGAGAUGAGUUCUCCCUGAGACCUUGAGUCUCCUGAAGGAACGUUGAAGACGACGACGUUGAUAGGUCGGGUGUGUAAGCGCAGCGAUGCGUUGAGCUAACCGAUACUAAUGAACCGUGAGGCUUAACCUU
RNAcentral lists this ribosomal RNA (2760 nucleotides) under Enterobacter cloacae. Its description in RNAcentral is "bacterial LSU rRNA". It matches the Rfam family "Bacterial large subunit ribosomal RNA". RNAcentral also lists the same sequence under 1 other name. The record is from RNAcentral. Lineage: Bacteria; Pseudomonadati; Pseudomonadota; Gammaproteobacteria; Enterobacterales; Enterobacteriaceae.